AAAAUACUUUAAAUCAAUGGUCUAAAAGGAAUCUAACUGUUAUAGGUAGAAUAACUGUGAUUAAAACUCUAGUCUUGCCUAUUGUAAACCAUCUCAUUAUCUCUCUGCCAAAUCCUUCAGAUGAUAUUAUUAAGAGAAUAAAUGAACUUAUUUAUUCAUACAUAUGGAACUCACCUAUACAUAGAGUUAAGAAGGAUAUUCUAAUCAAAGAUUAUUUGGAGGGAGGUUUGAAAAUGCUUGAUUUGAAUAUGUUCAUUACAGCACUUAAAUCAACAUGGAUUAGGAGGAUUUUGCAGAGAGAUAGUAAAUGGCAAAAUAUUUUCAUGUCAAAUAUAGAUAAAAGAA
Molecule: long non-coding RNA, 345 nt
Filed under: Mytilus galloprovincialis (Mediterranean mussel)
Lineage: Eukaryota; Metazoa; Mollusca; Bivalvia; Mytilida; Mytilidae
Source: RNAcentral